AAUUUAUUUGUGAAUUUCCAUUAAUGCCUAGAAAGUGGCACAUGAGCAUAAAGUUUUACGUCCAUGUAAGAUUGCAUUUAGACCACUUUGUUUCAUUUUAAUGCUUGGAAGAAGAACCCAGCUCUGAGUUAAAUACUCAAAAAUGAAAUUUUGUUAGUGUCCUCUUUGCACUCAUUACCAUUUUAGUCUUCCAAAUAGCCUGUUGUUUUCAUCAGAGCAGAGAACAUGGCUUUGGCUCAAACUAACUUAUAAUUGUUUACAACAGAAAUAUGUUUAGUUUCAUCUCCUGAUUUUGAGCUUUUGUUUUGUGUGGGUAGGUGGGGCUUUCUCG
RNAcentral lists this unclassified non-coding RNA (331 nucleotides) under Hevea brasiliensis (rubber tree). The record is from RNAcentral. Lineage: Eukaryota; Viridiplantae; Streptophyta; Magnoliopsida; Malpighiales; Euphorbiaceae.